This 445-nucleotide ribosomal RNA is filed under the name uncultured bacterium. Its description in RNAcentral is "bacterial SSU rRNA". It matches the Rfam family "Bacterial small subunit ribosomal RNA", at positions 354 to 796 of the family's 1533-position model. The record is from RNAcentral.
GUGAGGAAUAUUGCGCAAUGGAGGCAACUCUGACGCAGCCAUGCCGCGUGCAGGAAGAAGGCGCUACGCGUUGUAAACUGCUUUUAACCGGGAAGAAACCCCAGGACGUGUCCUGGGUUGACGGUACCGGAGGAAUAAGCACCGGCUAACUUCGUGCCAGCAGCCGCGGUAAUACGAAGGGUGCAAGCGUUAUCCGGAUUCAUUGGGUUUAAAGGGUGCGUAGGCGGAGCGUUAAGUCAGUGGUGAAAUCCUGCAGCUUAACUGGAGACGUGCCAUUGAUACUGGCGCUCUAGAGUGCGCUUGAAGGGGGCGGAAUGUGCCGUGUAGCGGUGAAAUGCUUAGAUAUGGCACAGAACACCAAUUGCGAAGGCAGCUCACUAAGGCGAUACUGACGCUGAGGCACGAAAGCGUGGGGAUCGAACAGGAUUAGAUACCCCAGUAGUCC